AUGAUGUUUUAUUGCACUAACUACAUUGAGUUUGUUGCCUUUAUGCACAUUCAUAUGUGUGGCCUUCGUCUCUGUAGCAUUCUCUCUAGCGAGAUUCUCUGUUCACCCCUUGUUCCUCUUGUGGCUCCUAGUUCACCGACGCCAUCGGUUCUUGCCUCGGAUGCUUCCCAGGAUGAUAAGGAUGCCACCAAGGUUGUUGAUGAUGUUGCAUUGCUGCUUAUGAGUAUCAGGCCUCGGACUAACAGGUGGCCCUUGAGAUGUAUCGUGAUGAGCUGUCUAUCUACACUAAGUAGUUUGACGAUGAUGAUCUUGUUGUGGCUUUUCUUUGUUCCAAUGUUCUACCUCAAGUUACCUCUGAGUUUAUGGGUCUCACUACUGUCUUCGAGAUGUAGAUACAUCUUCGACAGUGCUAUCAGCCCUUUGGUGAUGCCCUAUAAAUAUUUGUGGUCCGCCAGAACCAUGCUCUCCAGCAGGGUGACUCAAUUCUGA
Molecule: ribosomal RNA, 489 nt
Filed under: Triticum aestivum (bread wheat)
Lineage: Eukaryota; Viridiplantae; Streptophyta; Magnoliopsida; Poales; Poaceae
Description: partial small subunit ribosomal RNA
Source: RNAcentral